GUCCUGAUAGAGCAAAUGAAGAAGAAUGGCACCAGAUUUAUUCUCAUUCUGGUAGGUGUGAAGGCAGAUUGCAUGCUUCUUUUUGUUUCUGUGUUCACGAUUCAAAAAUUAAACCCCUGGGAAGAACUGGGAAAAAGGUAAAAGAAACCCCCCCACACAUCUUGGCCUCUUCCUGUGAGUCUUUAUUUAUUAUCUUUUAAAAGUUUUGAAAAGCCAAUAAAGAAGGAAAGAAUAGGUAAAAAAAAAUGCAUUGUAAGAGAUGAUACUUCGUCAUAUUUAUUAUUUUUUCAUUGCUGAAUGCCACUAGGAUUUAAUUAAUCAGUACUUUUUUGGGGAGAGAGUUAGGACAACUGUAGGCAGAAACACUGAAUGUAGGAAAGAAUAAAAGGGUCUCACCAUUUCAGGCUUCAGGAUGAAUAGCUAUAGCUCAGUCUCAUUUUUAGGAAACUGCAGGGGGUUAAAAAAUCUCUUAUACUGUAUCAUCAUUCAGCAACCAUGAGUCUUAGGGGACCCAUUUCUCUUUUAUUAAGCCCACAAAAAACGGAGGUAAGAUCCAGAAUGCCAACUUAUUAUUUUACAUUGGAAGUUAUAUCUUGGUAAAUACAGAAGUAACUACCCACAAAGGAUUUCCUCCUUCUAGCUUCCAGAAAUCAGAGCAUGAUUCUUGUUCAUUUUAAAAUUUAAGUAUUUACGAAACAUUGGCUACUUGAAAAUCACUGUUUUCUAAAGAGUGCGUGUGUUUUAAAUUAAUGAAUUAAUGGCAUUUAUUCUAGUAAAGGGAGACAGCCAAUAAAAAACUAUUAGGAAGGUAAUUUCAGAUAAUGUUGAUUUACAUGGCAAUUGGGAAACAGCGUAAUACAGAGAGUAACUGGGGAAGGUAUGAGAUGGGCUGAUGAAUAUCAAUGUCCAUCUCAAAUGGCCGCACCAUAGAAUAGAAUGCAGAAGUUCAAUUUCUUAAGGAGCACUGCUGUUAGACUCUGGAAAUGCUAUAAAUUGUCUCUCUCCAAUUGAGGAUAAUAUCUUAUUAAACUGCUUUAUCUCCAGGAUUUGUUUUCCAAACACUAGCACAUCUUUAUUUCUCAAUAAUUUUAUGGAGAAAUAUUAACAAAUUCUUUUAAUUCUUAGGUCUCUUUUUAAAAAAUAUUAAUUUCCCUGUUUAUUGGAAAAGUCACAUAUGUCAUAUUAUAUUUCAAUUUUUAUGAUUUUUUUCCCUUCUUUAGUUAUUGCUCUGGGUGUUUACUUUCUAUAAUAUGUAAAAGAUUCUUGCUCCCUUUGAAAGAGGUCAUCCUUUAUAAGGGUCAUCUAUCUUACUUUUGGGUCCCGGUGGCAACUUCCAUCUUAAUUGGUUAUGUAAUAUUCCCAGUAGAUAUGUCAAAUUAUCAAUGCUUUUUUAUUUAUCUAAUUUUAUUUUGGUCCAUCAUUUUUUUCUGCACUAAAUUGUCAAAGUUUGGGAGAGGACUUUCCUUAGGGACAUUUUUCUCACCUUUGCAGUCUUAAAUCCUGUCACUGCAGGACCCAGCCAUUUCUGGCAAUGAGACACAGUAUCUCACCUUCACCAGAGGACAAGAAGACAACGUGUUCAUCAAAUGGCCCAACACCAGUGACAUUGUCUGGGGA
RNAcentral lists this long non-coding RNA (1617 nucleotides) under Marmota monax (woodchuck). Lineage: Eukaryota; Metazoa; Chordata; Mammalia; Rodentia; Sciuridae. The record is from RNAcentral.